GAACGAUGAAGCCCUUCGGGGUGGAUUAGUGGCGAACGGGUGAGUAACACGUGGGCAAUCUGCCCUUCACUCUGGGACAAGCCCUGGAAACGGGGUCUAAUACCGGAUAUCACUCCCGCAGGCAUCUGUGGGGGUCGAAAGCUCCGGCGGUGAAGGAUGAGCCCGCGGCCUAUCAGCUUGUUGGUGAGGUAAUGGCUCACCAAGGCGACGACGGGUAGCCGGCCUGAGAGGGCGACCGGCCACACUGGGACUGAGACACGGCCCAGACUCCUACGGGAGGCAGCAGUGGGGAAUAUUGCACAAUGGGCGAAAGCCUGAUGCAGCGACGCCGCGUGAGGGAUGACGGCCUUCGGGUUGUAAACCUCUUUCAGCAGGGAAGAAGCGAAAGUGACGGUACCUGCAGAAGAAGCGCCGGCUAACUACGUGCCAGCAGCCGCGGUAAUACGUAGGGCGCAAGCGUUGUCCGGAAUUAUUGGGCGUAAAGAGCUCGUAGGCGGCUUGUCACGUCGGGUGUGAAAGCCCGGGGCUUAACCCCGGGUCUGCAUUCGAUACGGGCUAGCUAGAGUGUGGUAGGGGAGAUCGGAAUUCCUGGUGUAGCGGUGAAAUGCGCAGAUAUCAGGAGGAACACCGGUGGCGAAGGCGGAUCUCUGGGCCAUUACUGACGCUGAGGAGCGAAA
This 677-nucleotide ribosomal RNA is filed under the name Streptomyces griseoruber. RNAcentral describes it as "bacterial SSU rRNA". It matches the Rfam family "Bacterial small subunit ribosomal RNA", at positions 64 to 758 of the family's 1533-position model. The record is from RNAcentral. Lineage: Bacteria; Bacillati; Actinomycetota; Actinomycetes; Kitasatosporales; Streptomycetaceae.